CCCUGGUUGGGGAUCUAAGAUCCACAUUACGCACGAUAUGACCCAAAAAUAAAUAAAACUGGCUGUUAUUAUGUGUGGGUGGGUAACUGUAUUGAGGGAUAGGUGGCUGAAUGGGCUGCCCUCUUGCCAUCUUCAAAACCAGAUGUCUCCCCCGACACACCUCCUUCGGGUCCCAUCUCCCCAACAUCAGACUUCCAGGAAUGUGUCAGAAAUGCCCCAUGUCGGACUGCCCUGUGCUUCUCCCUGGGUCAGUGAGGAGGAAAGGAGGGGGCCCGGGGUGAGGGAGGCAGGGCAGCCGGUGACUUCCUGCCCUCGGCCCGCUGGCCAGGGCUGGGCCCAGGACUGUUUCCUUCCUGUUCAGCACUGCCUGUUGAGUGUGGCGUAGACUUGGGGGCCCCCAGGCGGACUGGGAGUUGGGGUGUUGAUGACUUGUAAGCUGUGCUCAGAUCUCACACCCUAACGCCCCAGACAGCACUGAAUCAGUCCUGCCUCCUGGAAGCCCACUCUUUCUGACUUCUCUGCCACACCCCCAGCAUGAGCUCAUUUUAUUCCUCAUCAUAAUUCCUGGAAGCUCCAGUUACCUCAAACCUUCAGCACGACAACAGGCACCUGGGAAGCCUCCACAAAUGCUCUGAACAGGAACUGGCUCCAGCAGUGCCCUGGGAGUGGGUGGGGUAGGACGAGGUUGACCACAGAUGUAUCACCAAUCAGAAACAUUUGGGGAACACAGUGUCUUUAAAGAUGCUCUGUCCCCCAAUUUGUUCCUCAAUCCCUCCUCUCUUGGUGGGAAAACGACCUCCCAGCCACAAGCCCUGAGGGUCCCUCUCAUCCUGUCCUUUGACACUGGAGUGGACUUUUCAAAAAUGCCACAGUCAUGAAAAACAAAAGCAGAGGAUUGCCCUAAAUUACGAGAUUAAAGGAGUAUGACCAGCAAAUUCAAUGGGUGAGUCUUUAAAAAAAAAAAAUUACUUGGCUGUGCCAGGUCUUAGUUGCGGCAUGCAUGAGGGAACUUCGUUUCAGAAUGUGGGAUCUUUUAGUUGUGGCACGCAAACUCUUAGUUGCGGCUUGUGUGAUUAAGUUCCCUGACCAGGAAUCGAACCUGGGCCCCCUGCACUGGGAGCAGGAAGUCUUAGCCACUGGACCACCAGGGAAGUCCCACAAUGUGUGAAUCCUGAUUGAACUGCGGGUUGGAAAAAAAGUCAAAAACUAAAAUGACACCUUGGGGAUAACUGGGAAAUUUUUAACGGGGAGUAUAUUUUAGAUACUAAUAGUGUAUCGAUCGAUGUUAAAUUUCUGGUGUGUGAUAACUGCAUUGUGGUCAUUAAGGAGAAUGUCCUUAAUCUUAGGCAAUGGAUACUGAAGUAGUGGUCAGGGUGGGGAGAUGUGCCAUACCCACACCUAUGAACCAUCAGCAAAAUGAAAAUGAAGCGUGUGUGUGCACGCAGGUGAUCAUUUUAUUGUUACAAUGUUUUCAAAAUGAAAAGUUUGGAGGAGAAAGGUCUGUGAUAAAAGAGGGGUGCCAUUCCAACUGUCUGGGAGAAAGAGGAGGGGAAUUGCAGCUGGGGGUUCUAAUGGGGUAGCUCAGGGGAAGCACUUCGACUCUGUGACCUGAUUACUGACCCCCCCACCCCGCCGCCCCCGCACACUAGCCUUCCACCCCUGGUGCCCAGAAAGCAUUCAAAUCUAACCUCCCCCCGUCUCCCUGCCCCCAUGGCCUGACUCUCUGAAUCUUCCACAAAGUGUCUUAGGUCCUCAUCUGAUGGGACCUCCCCUGGUGGAAGGCCACCCCCUGGCCAAGCUAGAAUAAUACCUGAAGCAUCUUAAAGGUGCACAGCUCAUCUCCCUGGAGAAUGAACUGAACCUCAGUGGGCUUGACCCACCAUUAGUUUUUAAAAAUUACAUUCACUUAGAGAGGGAAAGGGAAUGUAAACUGGUGAAUGUAAACUGGUGAAGCCACUAUGGAAAACAGUAUGGAGGUUCUCAAAAAAAUAAAAAUAGAACUACUAUGUGACCCAGCAAUUCCACUCUUAGGUAUAUAUCUGAAAAAAAUGAAAAAACCAGUUCCAAAGAUAUACUCACCCCACCGAUCACAGAGGCAUUAUUUACAAUAG
This is a long non-coding RNA of Bubalus bubalis (water buffalo), 2111 nucleotides long. RefSeq lists it as uncharacterized. NCBI's taxonomy places the organism in Eukaryota, Metazoa, Chordata, Mammalia, Artiodactyla, Bovidae. The record is from RefSeq and is a predicted model, not a curated record. The transcript is spliced from 3 exons.